GAAACCGUUCAGGGGUAAACCUGAGAAACCCAAAAGUUCGAAUGGGGAGAUUCAUCGGCAGCCAGGCUGGCUCCUGUUGGUGCGUGAUACCCUGACUUUGGGCCUUCGUGGUUCCAAUGCCGAGGGCACACCAUCUUCGGCGAACGUUCCGGCUAUAGGCAGUCGUGCACUUCUCCCUUAGUAGAACGUCGCGACCCGUUGCGUGUCGGUCUACGGCCCGAGUUGUUUGCCUGGCGCGUCGUCUUGUGCGUACGCGUCAGACGCUCGAUAGCUCGACCGGCUGCGUGACGGUACUCUGACGGUAUCGGGCAGCAACCAAUCCAUUUUCGAAUGUACGUGCGUCAGGCCCACCGCAAGCUCGAUCAGUUUACCCGGAGGUACGGACCUGGUGCCGUCCCCGGGCCUGGCCAGCUGUUAGCAGGUGGUGUCCUUGGACUGGCCAAGCUUCGAAUUACCGGUCGGCGACGCUACUGCUUUGGGUACUCUCAGGACCCGUCUUGAAACACGGACCAAGGAGUCUAACAUGUGCGCGAGUCAUUGGGAUAUUACAAACCUAAAGGCGCAAUGAAAGUGAAGGUUGGCCUCUGUGUCGACCGAGGGAGGAUGGGCCGCGUUAAUAUUUGCGGCCUCGCACUCCCGGGGCGUCUCGUUCUCAUUGCGAGAAGAGGCGCACCCAGAGCGUACACGUUGGGACCCGAAAGAUGGUGAACUAUGCCUGGUCAGGACGAAGUCAGGGGAAACCCUGAUGGAGGUCCGUAGCGAUUCUGACGUGCAAAUCGAUCGUCGGAACUGGGUAUAGGGGCGAAAGACUAAUCGAACCAUCUAGUAGCUGGUUCCCUCCGAAGUUUCCCUCAGGAUAGCUGGCACUCGCUCGUUCCUACGUUGAACGCAUGCGAGUCUCAUCUGGUAAAGCGAAUGAUUAGAGGCCUUGGGGCCGAAACGACCUCAACCUAUUCUCAAACUUUAAAUGGGUGAGAUCUCUGGCUUGCUUGAAUUACUAUGAAGCCACGAGAUUUUGGAUCAGAGUGCCAAGUGGGCCAAUUUUGGUAAGCAGAACUGGCGCUGUGGGAUGAACCAAACGCAGAGUUAAGGCGCCUAAGUCGACGCUUAUGGGAUACCAUGAAAGGCGUUGGUUGCUUAAGACAGCAGGACGGUGGCCAUGGAAGUCGGAA
RNAcentral lists this ribosomal RNA (1172 nucleotides) under Systropha curvicornis. Its description in RNAcentral is "eukaryotic LSU rRNA". It matches the Rfam family "Eukaryotic large subunit ribosomal RNA", at positions 401 to 1266 of the family's 3401-position model. Lineage: Eukaryota; Metazoa; Arthropoda; Insecta; Hymenoptera; Halictidae. The record is from RNAcentral.